Molecule: ribosomal RNA, 590 nt
Filed under: uncultured bacterium
Lineage: Bacteria
Description: partial 16S ribosomal RNA
Rfam family: Bacterial small subunit ribosomal RNA
Source: RNAcentral
UGGGGAAUCUUCCGCAAUGGACGAAAGUCUGACGGAGCAACGCCGCGUGAGUGAAGAAGGUUUUCGGAUCGUAAAACUCUGUCUUUUGGGGCGAACGUGAGUAUGGUGAACAAUCAUAGUCAGUGACGGUACCAAAGGAGGAAGCCACGGCUAACUACGUGCCAGCAGCCGCGGUAAUACGUAGGUGGCAAGCGUUGUCCGGAAUUAUUGGGCGUAAAGAGCGCGUAGGCGGGAUAGUCAGUCUGUUGUAAAAGUGCGGGGCUCAACCCCGUGAUGGCAAUGGAACAGCUAUUCUUGAGUGCAGGAGAGGAAAGUGGAAUUCCCAGUGUAGCGGUGAAAUGCGUAGAUAUUGGGAGGAACACCAGUGGCGAAGGCGACUUUCUGGACUGUGUCUGACGCUGAGGCGCGAAAGCCAGAGGGAGCGAACGGGGAUUUAGAUACCCCCGGUAGUCCUGGCCGUAAACGAUGGGUACUAGGUGUGGGAGGUAUCGACCCCUUCCGUGCCGGAGUUAACGCAAUAAGUACCCCGCCUGGGGAGUACGGUCGCAAGACUGAAACUUAAUGAAUUGACGGGGUCAUAGCUGUUUCCU